AAUGAACGUUGGCGGCGUGGAUUAGGCAUGCAAGUCGAGCGGAAAGGCCCGCAAGGGCACUCGAGCGGCGUAAGGGACAGUAAUGUGUAGGUAACGUACCCCUGGGUCUAGGAUAGCUGCGGGAAACUGCAAUUAAUACUAGAUAACGUCUCCGGACCAAAGGUGUGAUUCCACCUGGGGAGCGGCCUACAUCCUAUUAGCUAGUUGGCGAGGUAAUGGCUCACCAAGGCGAAGAUGGGUAGCAGGUGUGAGAGCACGACCUGCGUCACUGGGACUGAGACACUGCCCAGACACCUACGGGUGGCUGCAGUCGAGAAUCUUCGGCAAUGGGCGAAAGUCUGACGGAGCGACGCCGCGUGCGGGAUGAAGGCCCUUGGGUUGUAAACCGCUGUCAGAGGGGAUGAAAUCUUCGGAGGUACUCCUCCGAAGUUGACAGAGCCUCAAAGGAAGCACGGGCUAAGUACGUG
RNAcentral lists this ribosomal RNA (467 nucleotides) under uncultured bacterium. RNAcentral describes it as "bacterial SSU rRNA". It matches the Rfam family "Bacterial small subunit ribosomal RNA", at positions 29 to 507 of the family's 1533-position model. The record is from RNAcentral.